GUUAGGAAUAUUGGACAAUGGGCGCAAGCCUGAUCCAGCCAUGCUGCGUGCAGGAAGACGCAUCUAUGGUGUGUAAACUGCUUUUGUACGGGAAGAAACACUCCCUCGUGAGGGAGCUUGACGGUACCGUAAGAAUAAGGAUCGGCUAACUCCGUGCCAGCAGCCGCGGUAAUACGGAGGCUCCAAGCGUUAUCCGGAAUCAUUGGGUUUAAAGGGUCCGUAGGCGGGUUAAUAAGUCAGUGGUGAAAGCCCAUCGCUAACCGAUGGAACUGCCAUUGAUACUGUUAUACUUGAAUUACAAGGAAGUAACUAGAAUAUGUGGUGUAGCUGUGAAAUGCUUAGAUAUUACAUGGAAUACCAAUUGCGAAGGCAGGUUACUACUUGUGGAUUGACCCUGAUGGACGAAAGCGUGGGGAGCGAACAGGAUUAGAAACCCUUGUAGUCC
Molecule: ribosomal RNA, 445 nt
Filed under: uncultured bacterium
Lineage: Bacteria
Description: partial 16S ribosomal RNA
Rfam family: Bacterial small subunit ribosomal RNA
Source: RNAcentral